Molecule: non-coding RNA, 29 nt
Filed under: Homo sapiens (human)
Lineage: Eukaryota; Metazoa; Chordata; Mammalia; Primates; Hominidae
Source: RNAcentral
CCCUCCGCUGAUGGCCUGUGCAGACCCAA